AAUGAACGCUGGCGGCAGGCCUAACACAUGCAAGUCGAACGAGUGGCGGACGGGUGAGAAAUGUAUGGGAAACUGCCUGAUGGGGGGGGAUAACUACUGGAAACGGUGGCUAAUACAGCAUACCAUCAGAUGUGCCAAGAGGGGAUUGGCUAGUUGGUGGGGUAACGGCUCACCAAGGCGACGAUCCCUAGCUGGGCUGAGAGGAGGACCAGCCACACUGGAACUGAGACACGGCCCAGACUCCUACGGGAGGCAGCAGGGGGGAAUAUUGCACAAUGGGCGCAAGCCUGAUGCAGCCAUGCCGCGUGGAUGAAGAAGGCCUUCGGGUUGUAAAGUACUUUCAGCGGGGAGGCGGUACCCGCAGAAGAAGCACCGGCUAACUCCGUGCCAGCAGCCGCGGUAAUAC
This 406-nucleotide ribosomal RNA is filed under the name uncultured bacterium. Its description in RNAcentral is "partial 16S ribosomal RNA". It matches the Rfam family "Bacterial small subunit ribosomal RNA", at positions 29 to 526 of the family's 1533-position model. The record is from RNAcentral.